CUGCCAAAGCCCACGGCUGGCCAGAGCAGUUCAACCGUUGGUUGGCUGAUUACAUUGAUUGAUGUGCUAAUUGACCAAUGUAAGAACCAUAUGUAUGUAAAUAGGCGUUCCAUGUUCGUCUCAAGCCUAACUAACUUGACAACAUGGUGUCACCGGGGUAGGAUUGUUAUCCUAGCAGUGGAACAGAAAAACAAGUUUAGUACAAGAAAAAGGGCAGACCGCUCGUCGAAAUCGCAAACCGAACUACUCCGGGUUUUGGACUUUUUGUCGCUAAGAGUGUGUUUUGUUCAUUGGAAUCUUAUGAUAAAAACGAUGUCCGGCUAUGGUCACUUGGAUGCAAACAACCUGGAAAGAGAGAACUCGUGGAAAACCUCCCAGAACAAUCUGACUGUUGGAUGAGUGGCUGUGUAUUCCCCUUUGUAAACAGCAUUCUGCAAAAAAGAGACAGGAGAUGUGUUGUAGUUGUUGUUGCCGACCACCAUGGCCAUCAGCUCGGACGGCUGGAACAGCGAAAGGAUCUCCCCCCCGCACACCUUCAGGAAACC
Long non-coding RNA from Monopterus albus (swamp eel), 545 nucleotides. RefSeq lists it as uncharacterized. The transcript has 3 exons. Lineage: Eukaryota; Metazoa; Chordata; Actinopteri; Synbranchiformes; Synbranchidae. The record is from RefSeq and is a predicted model, not a curated record.